AAGGCAAAUUAGAUGGCAGCCAAGUGUGGCAGUUUCAGGUCCUCCAUUUCCAUUUCGAAAAGGAAGAAAAGCUGAUGAUUCAAGGAGACCUCACUUUUGAGGUUGCCAGAGGGGAGGUUCCUGUUUUCUGUGGCAGUAUAAGAUCCCACAGGGAACAGGACCCACCUGUGAGACUGCAGCGACUGGGCGGCACCGUGAACCAGCUAAUAAUGGCUCAUCAAGGUUUUUUUUAGUUUUUUUGGCAGGGGAGAAAAUCUUGUUUGUGUUUCUUCCCUUCCAUCCUGUGGGAACAGGGUGGGCCUCUGGGUGUGAAGGGUGGUACAGUAGAUGGUUGGCAGGAGGAAUCGGGUAGUGUGGCUGAUUGAGGGAGGAAGUAAUAAAAAGCCUGUAAUUAAUGCCUGCUUCAUUUGUUUCUGCUGAAAGUCACUGGAAAAACAGGCUUUUUUUUUUCUAAUUUGAGGCUGUCCGCCAAUUAAUUAGCAGUAAAAGGACAGUGGCUCCUCUCAUUCUGCAGAUGCUGCUUUCUCCACAUGGCAGAAUGCAGCAUUAAAAAAAGUAGACCAAUAUUCUCUUCAGUGACACUCUUUUUUUCCUUUUUUUUUUUUGUUCCUUUUGCUGACCACCUCUGUUGCUGCUGGCUACUUUUGUGUCCCAGUGAAUCAGCUGAAGGAAUGUCACUGACUUCAGUGCCACUUUUGACUGCCUCAGUGAAGACUGGGACCUGCUUUGCUUAAAUAGUUUACCUUGUAGUCAGAGACAGUUGUUGUUGUUUUUUUUGCCUCUGUCUCAAAGUGUAUUGAUGGUUUAUAACCAGAUCAUACUUAUUAUUUUCCAUGUGAUGAUUGUGAGAUGAUUCCUGUUUGUCAUUCACUGGUUAUAAAAACUGCAAAUGCCACACUAUUGUGUUAUACAAUGAGGCACUCAAUUUGGUAUUAGUCACUCAGGACCAUUUGCAUGUGAAAUGUGCUCUUUUCAUACGUUUUCUCUCCCAGCCUUUCAAAUGCUUCCAAAUCUUUGCAAACUGGUUUCAUGUCACCAUAUAAGAAGCAUAAUAGUGAUUGCAUGGUCAAAAUAUUAUAUAUGUGCCUAAUUGUGAUGGUAAUCGAACAUGUCUGAAUAAGAGUGGGGUUUUUUGGCGGAACAAUGGCAGACUAUCCUUUGGG
This is a long non-coding RNA of Astatotilapia calliptera (eastern happy), 1163 nucleotides long. Lineage: Eukaryota; Metazoa; Chordata; Actinopteri; Cichliformes; Cichlidae. The record is from Ensembl.